GACGAACGCUGGCGGCGUGCUUAACACAUGCAAGUCGAACGAGGUCCACUGCGUAGCAAUACAAGGGAAGACCUAGUGGCGAACGGGUGCGUAACACGUGAGGAACUUGUCCCGGUCUCUGGGAUAACAGUUGGAAACGACUGCUAAUACCGGAUGACGUCGGAAUCUCGCAUGGGAUACUGACGAAAGGGUUACUGGAUCGGGAGAGCCUCGCGGCCUAUCAGCUUGUUGGUGAGGUAACGGCUCACCAAGGCAUCGACGGGUAGCUGGUCUGAGAGGAUGAUCAGCCACACUGGGACUGAGACACGGCCCAGACUCCUACGGGAGGCAGCAGUGGGGAAUUUUGGACAAUGGGGAAACCCUGAUCCAGCAAUGCCGCGUGUGUGACGAAGGCCUUCGGGUUGUAAAGCACUUUUGGCGGGUAACGAAACGGCGCGUUUCUAAUACAGAGCGCUAAUGACGGUACCCGCAGAAUAAGCACCGGCUAACUACGUGCCAGCACG
RNAcentral lists this ribosomal RNA (503 nucleotides) under uncultured bacterium. RNAcentral describes it as "bacterial SSU rRNA". It matches the Rfam family "Bacterial small subunit ribosomal RNA", at positions 28 to 515 of the family's 1533-position model. The record is from RNAcentral.